RNAcentral lists this long non-coding RNA (745 nucleotides) under Homo sapiens (human). RNAcentral describes it as "HSALNT0370402". Lineage: Eukaryota; Metazoa; Chordata; Mammalia; Primates; Hominidae. The record is from RNAcentral.
CGUACGUGUGGGAGUAGGCUGUCUGCAUAGGAACCGUUCACUGAUGAAUUCUAGAAGACACAGGUCUGGGAUGGCCCUGUGGACACAACUCCUGAAAUGAGACCGAAUGACUGCAGAGACUGGCGCCACUGAAAAACAGAGGGAAAGAAAGGGCUUAUCGGAGAGUCCUCAGAUUAUGAUGAAAAUUCUUCAGGCAUUUAAAAGUCGACUUGUGAGAAGCCGCUGUAACCGUGCCAAGAGCCAGCUCUGUGGACCUCAGGAAUCUCAUGCUUCCAUCUCUGCUGCUGCCAACACCACGGUCAUGUUUUAUGUGUGCCCGUGUGAAUGGGGCCUCUGGGGAUCACAGACCCAGCUCCCCUCCCAGGUAGCGCCCUGCCCCAUGCAGGACUCUUCUCAACCCCAUGCUUCUAUAUCUGUGGGGAAGGUUGUUCCAAGCCCUUCCGGCCAAUGACACUCAGGCUUUUGGGUUGGGCAAAUUCUCAGGUCCCUCCGUGCCAUCCUACCCACUCUGGAGGGACUAACUAGUAUUUCUCUUAUAGCACUGAAAAAUAAAAUUUAUUUUGGGCCUCACAGAGCUCUAGGGACCACGUGGCUGUGUCAGCCCCAGGAGGAGGCAAGGAAAGGGUCCCUAUGGAGCCCAAAUCCGACAGGCAGAAGCCAGGUCAGAUGGUGCCCUGAGAACGUGCAGUCUAGAAGACCCAACCUGAGCCCUGACAACCCUCACCAGGAACUCAUAAGGAGGUGG